This 1071-nucleotide long non-coding RNA is filed under the name Junco hyemalis (dark-eyed junco). RNAcentral describes it as "lncRNA (ENSJHYG00000006093.1)". Lineage: Eukaryota; Metazoa; Chordata; Aves; Passeriformes; Passerellidae. The record is from RNAcentral.
AUGGGGAAUCUCCCACCAGCUCGGUCCCGAACGCCGCCGGUCCCGGAGCACCGGGUCGGUCGCGUACCACGCCGGUGCCGCUCCCCAUCGCCGGUCCCGGCCCGCGCUGCGCGUCCAGCCGGACCCCCUUCAGAGCGAGCCGGUACCCGGGAGCGCGGGGCAGCCCCGAGCGGGGGCGGAGCGGUGCCGGUGCGGCGGGAUGGGCGGCGCGGCCCCUGCCCCUCUCGACGCCGCAUCACGGUGAGUGACAGCAGCCCCGGCCCGGCCCCGCCGCACAACCCGCCGGGCUUUUCCAAUCAGGCCGGGCCGGGGAGGGAUUUCCUGCCGGGACGGGGCCGGCCCGAGCGGGACUUUGCCGAGUGCCGCGCCGCCUGCGAGCCGGGACCCGCGGCUGCGCUCCGGUACCGGCCCCGCUCCCGCCCCGCGCGGCUCGGGAAGUUGCGGCCGGGCCGGGCCGGGCUCGGCGCUGCUCGGUGCCCCGCGCUCCGGAGCGGCUCCGCACGGCGCGGGCGGCUCCGCCGCGGUGCCGUCGGUUCGCUCCGGCGCGGUUCGGUUCGCCCCGGUGCGGCGGGCUGGGAGCGCCGCCAGGUGAGUGGGGCCGGCGGAGCUGCUCGCCCCAGGAGCCGCGGAACAACCGGCCUCGGUGGGGGCAGAAACCCCCCGAGCUCCCGGGGGAAGGAGCCGCCCCGCGCGGGGGUCUCGGGGCGGGGGAGGCGGGGGCGCGGCCGGGCGGGCAGCGAGGGGGGCCCGGAGCCUCCCGGGGGAACCGAGAGCUGCCCCCACCGCCCCUCGGGACCCGGCCGGGUGCGUGCAGCUCCUUUGCAUCUUUCCUCCGCCACUUACGUAACUGGUUCGGGUUUGUUUGGGGUUUUUUCCCCCUCUUCUCCCUCCUUUUUUCCCCCCCGGCGCUGCCGUUGGCUGCGGGAAUGUUUGGGAUACUUUGGUUCUCCAGGUGGAUUCCUGGGCUGCAGGCUCAGCUCUGCUCGUGUGGGAGGGAUGUUUUGCUGUUGCUUUUCCAGCUUUGAGCGUUUCUCGAAUUUUACCUUCGCUGCUCCUCUCGGGGGAGGCUGA